Carassius auratus (goldfish) is the source of this 1115-nucleotide long non-coding RNA. RefSeq lists it as uncharacterized. NCBI's taxonomy places the organism in Eukaryota, Metazoa, Chordata, Actinopteri, Cypriniformes, Cyprinidae. The record is from RefSeq and is a predicted model, not a curated record. The transcript has 2 exons.
CACACACACUCUGACCGUGUCUCUGUCCCGCAGGAGCUGGACGCUCCGUUCCGUCUCUACGGUCUGACCAUGAAUCCUCUGCUGUAUAACAUCACUCAGGUGGUGAUUCUGUCGGCCGUGUCGGGGGUCAUCAGUGACCUGCUGGGCUUCAACCUGAAGCUGUGGAAGAUCAAAUCCUGAGUUCAUCUUCAUCUCAAACACAUGGUGGCGCUGUUUCCCCUCGACGGGCUCCUGACGGUGAACUCUUGACCCGGUGUGCGGUCAUAUCAGAGUGCUUGUGCAAUUCAGCUAUUUAUUUGACCCUUUCAGUGUUUGUUUUUUAUUCUGAAGUAUUUGUUUUAGUUGUUACGAUUGUUUUAAGUAUUAUUUUAGCUCCUGAUGUGACGUUCUCAUAGGAAAGAUGAUCAGUGCAGUCUGAUCUGAGUUACUGAAACCAACAGAAAAGGCCCAUCAUGACACACACACACACACACACACACACACACACACACACACACACACAACUGAAACUGAGUUUCAUCUGAUGGGCUGCAGUUUUUCAGCUUUGUUUUUAUUUUCAGCAAUAAGUGUCAGUGAGUUCAGAUGAACAUUGAUUCAGGAGCUUCCCGUGUCGUCUGUGACCCACACACACUCGGUCAGUCUGUAAACACGUGUGUGUGUGUGUGUGUGUGUCAGCUAUGAAAGCUUCGAAAUGUGCACUUUAAAGCAGAAAAUGUUACAGAGUCAAUGGUUCAGUCCUUCUUGUGUCUUGUACGUGACACGAGACCGACGGCGUAACGACCAAAGUGUUUUUCUUUUUCCUUCGUAUUCUUUUUUUGCUGGAGAUGAAUGUAUUCGACUCUCUGUAAAGGAGACUGACAGUUACCUUUUGUUGUUGUGAUGCUGUUUUAAGUUUGAUUCAUAUAGAUUCAUAUUUCUGUUCAUGGAGGGAAAAUGUUCUGUUAUAAAGAAACACUAUUUAAAGAAAUGGAGAAACUGCACGUCUUGUUCACUUCAGAGAGAAUCUUGUGUUUCUGGAUGUUUCUCAGAUGAAGGUACGGCCAGCUUCACCAGAAUCUUGUGCUGGUCAAACUUAUAUUUCAACACACUGUACAAAAUAAAUCUCAUGAAAAGUG